AACGAACGCUGGCGGCAUGCCUUACACAUGCAAGUCGAACGCGAAAGUGUCUUCGGACAUUAGUAGAGUGGGAAACGGGUGAGUAACGCGUGGGAAACUACCUCAUAGUACGGAAUAGCCUCGGGAAACUGGGAUUACUACCGCAUACGCCCUUCGGGGGAAAGAUUUAUCGCCAUAAGAUGUGCCCGCGUCAGAUUCGCUAGUUGGUGGGGUAAUAGCCUACCAAGGCAACGAUCGGUAGCUGGUCUGAGAGGACGAUCAGCCACACUGGGACUAGGACACGGCCCGGACUCCUACGGGAGGCAGCAGUGGGGAAUAUUGGACAACGGACGAAAGUCUGAGCCAGCAAGGCCGCGUGAAUGAUGGAGUCCUUAGGGUUGUAAAGUCCUUUUAGUGGGGAACAUAAUGACGGUACCCACAGAAAAAGCACCGGCUAACUUCGUGCCAGCCGCCGCAGUAA
This 460-nucleotide ribosomal RNA is filed under the name uncultured bacterium. RNAcentral's name for it is "partial 16S ribosomal RNA". It matches the Rfam family "Bacterial small subunit ribosomal RNA", at positions 29 to 523 of the family's 1533-position model. The record is from RNAcentral.